RNAcentral lists this transfer RNA (85 nucleotides) under Candidatus Buchananbacteria bacterium CG10_big_fil_rev_8_21_14_0_10_42_9. RNAcentral's name for it is "tRNA-Leu". It matches the Rfam family "tRNA". From Rfam's summary of the family: Transfer RNA (tRNA) molecules are approximately 80 nucleotides in length. Their secondary structure includes four short double-helical elements and three loops (D, anti-codon, and T loops). The record is from RNAcentral. Lineage: Bacteria; Candidatus Buchananiibacteriota.
GCCGCGGUGGUGAAAUUGGUAGACACGCUAGCCUUAGGAGCUAGUGCCUUCGGGUGUGAGAGUUCGAGUCUCUCCCGCGGCACCA